RNAcentral lists this long non-coding RNA (445 nucleotides) under Manihot esculenta (cassava). RNAcentral's name for it is "long non-coding RNA (MESC_LNC008883)". Lineage: Eukaryota; Viridiplantae; Streptophyta; Magnoliopsida; Malpighiales; Euphorbiaceae. The record is from RNAcentral.
AUCAUCAUGGUUGAUCACAUGAGGAAGAUGAAGAACAAUGCCAUUGUUUGCAACAUUGGUCACUUUGAUAAUGAAAUUGAUAUGCAUGGACUUGAGACCUACCCUGGCGUGAAGCGCGUCACCAUCAAGCCCCAGACUGAUAGGUGGGUGUUCCCUGAGACCAAAACAGGCAUCAUUGUGUUGGCUGAGGGGCGUCUCAUGAAUUUGGGUUGUGCCACUGGUCACCCCAGCUUCGUGAUGUCAUGCUCUUUCACCAAUCAGGUGAUUGCACAGCUUGAGUUGUGGAGGGAGAAGGGAACUGGCAAAUAUGAGAAGAAAGUGUAUGUUUUGCCUAAGCACCUUGAUGAGAAGGUUGCUGCUCUUCACCUAGGGAAGCUUGGAGCUCACCUCACUAAACUCACCAAGGAGCAAGCUGAUUACAUCAGCGUUCCCGUUGAGGGUCCUU